Molecule: ribosomal RNA, 268 nt
Filed under: Escherichia coli
Lineage: Bacteria; Pseudomonadati; Pseudomonadota; Gammaproteobacteria; Enterobacterales; Enterobacteriaceae
Also listed under: 2 other names
Description: partial 23S ribosomal RNA
Rfam family: Bacterial large subunit ribosomal RNA
Source: RNAcentral
UGAGGGGGGCUGCUCCUAGUACGAGAGGACCGGAGUGGACGCAUCACUGGUGUUCGGGUUGUCAUGCCAAUGGCACUGCCCGGUAGCUAAAUGCGGAAGAGAUAAGUGCUGAAAGCAUCUAAGCACGAAACUUGCCCCGAGAUGAGUUCUCCCUGACCCUUUAAGGGUCCUGAAGGAACGUUGAAGACGACGACGUUGAUAGGCCGGGUGUGUAAGCGCAGCGAUGCGUUGAGCUAACCGGUACUAAUGAACCGUGAGGCUUAACCUU